This 283-nucleotide ribosomal RNA is filed under the name Veronica biloba. RNAcentral describes it as "5.8S ribosomal RNA". The stretch from base 108 to 263 matches the Rfam family "5.8S ribosomal RNA". From Rfam's summary of the family: 5.8S ribosomal RNA (5.8S rRNA) is a component of the large subunit of the eukaryotic ribosome. It is transcribed by RNA polymerase I as part of the 45S precursor that also contains 18S and 28S rRNA. Functionally, it is thought that 5.8S rRNA may be involved in ribosome translocation. Lineage: Eukaryota; Viridiplantae; Streptophyta; Magnoliopsida; Lamiales; Plantaginaceae. The record is from RNAcentral.
CGAACCCCGGCGCGGCAUGCGCCAAGGAAAACUUNAAGGAAUCGUCGUCCCCCUGGCGCCCGUCCGCGGUGCGUCUCGGGUGUGCGGCGUCCCUCAAAUGUCUAAACGACUCUCGGCAACGGAUAUCUCGGCUCUCGCAUCGAUGAAGAACGUAGCGAAAUGCGAUACUUGGUGUGAAUUGCAGAAUCCCGUGAACCAUCGAGUCUUUGAACGCAAGUUGCGCCCGAAGCCUUCUGGCCGAGGGCACGCCUGCCUGGGCGUCACGCAUCGCGUCGCCCCCUCC